AACCUCCCGGGAUCACAUCUGGAGAGACCCUCAUGUCCUGCCAGCUUCGGAAGCAGGAGGGAAAGCAAGCCUAGCAGAGGGACCCAUUCCGUUCCCCGCUUGUUCUGUAGUGGUGAUUGGAAGACACUCUGCAACAAGU
Small nucleolar RNA from Otolemur garnettii (small-eared galago), 139 nucleotides. NCBI's taxonomy places the organism in Eukaryota, Metazoa, Chordata, Mammalia, Primates, Galagidae. The record is from Ensembl.